GCCAGGUGCGGUGGUGCACACCUGUAGUCCCAGCUACUCGGGAGGCUGAGGUGGGAGGAUCCCUUGAGCCCAGGAAGUUGAGGCUGCAGUGAGCCAUGAUCGUGCCACUCCACUGCAGCCUGGGCAACAGAGAGAGACCCUGUCUCAA
Molecule: non-coding RNA, 148 nt
Filed under: Nomascus leucogenys (northern white-cheeked gibbon)
Lineage: Eukaryota; Metazoa; Chordata; Mammalia; Primates; Hylobatidae
Source: Rfam by way of RNAcentral